UACGGGAGGCAGCAGUGGGGAAUAUUGCACAAUGGGCGCAAGCCUGAUGCAGCCAUGCCGCGUGUAUGAAAAAGGCCUUCGGGUUGUAAAGUACUUUCAGUCGUGAGGAGGGUGUUAAGGUUAAUAACCUUAGCAAUUGACGUUAGCGACAGAAGAAGCACCGGCUAACUCCGUGCCAGCAGCCGCGGUAAUACGGAGGGUGCGAGCGUUAAUCGGAAUUACUGGGCGUAAAGGGCACGCAGGCGGUUAAUUAAGUUGGAUGUGAAAUCCCCGGGCUUAACCUGGGAAUGGCAUUCAAGACUGGUUAGCUAGAGUCUUGUAGAGGGGGUAGAAUUCCGAUGUGUAGCGGUGAAAUGCGUAGAGAUGUGGAGGAAUACCGGUGGCGAAGGCGGCCCCUGGGACAAAGGCUGACGCUCAUGUGCGAAAGCGUGGGGAGCGAAACAGGGAUUAGAUA
RNAcentral lists this ribosomal RNA (454 nucleotides) under uncultured bacterium. RNAcentral's name for it is "bacterial SSU rRNA". It matches the Rfam family "Bacterial small subunit ribosomal RNA", at positions 340 to 784 of the family's 1533-position model. The record is from RNAcentral.